Candidatus Synechococcus spongiarum 15L is the source of this 72-nucleotide non-coding RNA. NCBI's taxonomy places the organism in Bacteria, Bacillati, Cyanobacteriota, Cyanophyceae, Synechococcales, Synechococcaceae. The record is from Rfam.
GCGGAUGUAGCUCAGUGGUAGAGCAUCUCCUUGCCAAGGAGAGGGUCGAGAGUUCGAGUCUCUUCAUCCGCU